AUUGAACGCUGGCGGCAGGCCUAACACAUGCAAGUCGAGCGGAUGAAGGGAGCUUGCUCCUGGAUUCAGCGGCGGACGGGUGAGUAAUGCCUAGGAAUCUGCCUGGUAGUGGGGGAUAACGUCCGGAAACGGGCGCUAAUACCGCAUACGUCCUGAGGGAGAAAGUGGGGGAUCUUCGGACCUCACGCUAUCAGAUGAGCCUAGGUCGGAUUAGCUAGUUGGUGGGGUAAAGGCCUACCAAGGCGACGAUCCGUAACUGGUCUGAGAGGAUGAUCAGUCACAAUGGAACUGAGACACGGUCCAGACUCCUACGGAAGGCAGAAGUGGGGAAUAUUGGACAAUGGGCGAAAGACUGAUCCAGCCAUGCCGCGUGUGUGAAGAAGGUCUUCGGAUGGUAAAGCACUUUAAGUGGGGAGGAAGGGCAGUAAGUUAAUACCUUGCUGUUUUGACGUUACCAACAGAAUAAGCACCGGCUAACUUCGUG
RNAcentral lists this ribosomal RNA (484 nucleotides) under uncultured bacterium. RNAcentral's name for it is "partial 16S ribosomal RNA". It matches the Rfam family "Bacterial small subunit ribosomal RNA", at positions 30 to 507 of the family's 1533-position model. The record is from RNAcentral.